Eucalyptus grandis is the source of this 833-nucleotide long non-coding RNA. RefSeq lists it as uncharacterized. The record is from RefSeq and is a predicted model, not a curated record. The transcript is spliced from 2 exons. Lineage: Eukaryota; Viridiplantae; Streptophyta; Magnoliopsida; Myrtales; Myrtaceae.
UGUCUUAUUAUGAUUAAGUUGCCACCUAAGUGAUCUUGAUUGGGAGAACAGAGAACUGAUGGUCAACUUUGUUGAUGUUUGAAGCCUUGAUUGGGAUAGUUUUUUGACAUUGAUGCGCGAAUUCUUGGCUUUAAAAUGUGUCAAAAUGUUUCUCUGUCAUUGUUUUGAUAACAUAUAGAUGUAGAGGUCAUUAAAAGAGGUAGAAUGGAGGCCCUGUCACAGUGCUUUCAUUGAGUUUUUUACUUAAUUGAAGGACACAGAGCUGCAAGUUUAGCAGAUUCAUCUCCUGCAUCCGUGCCUUUGCCUCUUUGUGUCGAACCAAAACCAAAGAGUGGGAUCAGGCAGCAAGUUCUCCUCAAGAAAGUUGUGGAAAUCAAGCCUAAGAGGCAAAAGGUUUCUAGCCCACCAAAUGCGAAUCAAGCAACCACCAUAUACAAUAAUCAUGUGACUUCCGAAUUGAAGGCUGACCAGGUGAAGAAGCAUCCCACGCCAACAGAAGCAGAGGAUAAAAUUGAAUCGGAAAAUCCUGUAAAAAGCUUGCUGGGCAUAGCAUAUGAAAGUUCUGACAACGAGGAAGGAUCGAAGAAUGAAGAGUGGAUGCAUAUGUGCCGUUCUGCAUGCUCAGUUUUGAUGUUUACUCGAAGUAGGAAAUGUAGUACAAGACAUCGAAUUGGCACUAAAUUAUUACAUUGCCUUGAAAGCUUACCAAAUUUCCUCGCUCUGCCUCCUGGUGCAAAUGUCUUAAAAAGAGUAUUAAAGACUUUUUGUGAUCGAUUCAUUGUAGAAACUUGAAAUUGCCAAUCUGACGCGUAUUUUGACAGCAUUUCUCUUUA